CUGUUGACUUUUUUGGGUCUUUCUCUCUUUGGAUUGGUGUUGUCUCCCCGUCGCUGCUGGCUUGCUCGUACGAGCUUUUCCGUCCUGUUGCUCGUGCCGGUGGCCGUUGCUGCUUGUCAUCUUCUGUUCCUGAAUCGGUCGAGUGUGUUCGCUGACCGGAGGAGGAGCCGACGAUGAUGGGUGGGAUUUGCGCGCUGGUGGUCGGGGAUGCCGAGGAGGAUGAGACGGAGCUCUGCGCGAUCUGCGUCCACGUCAUGGUGCCCGGACGGCCAGUCCGCGUCCUCCCCGGAUGUACCCGCGCCUUCCACCACGACUGCGUCCACCGGUGGCGAACCAUCUCGUCGCGCUGCCUCGUCUGCAAUGCGUGGGUGACGCAGCGGUCGCAGGGACCUAACCGUCGCCAUCGCCCGCCCAGCCUGAUCUGAGUUCUUGGCAUGUCGGCGUUCCUACUUUCCUUAUAAUGGCUCAGCUCAUGGUUCUUGGUGAGGCACUGGGUAUACUUACUUGGUCGUAUUGGUUUAUGCCGUCUGCAUCAUCUGCUAGAGCUCAUCGUGCCGCAAUCCUUCGUGGUAGGAGUUCUUCCUCACGGCCAGCAUGUGAAUCAACACGAUCAACCGCUACCUCGUUCAAUUCUGGUCCUUCGUACCAGUCUUUGGUCAUUCGGAGGAAAAGGAAAUUGGCAAUCUUGCGUCGCCGGUUGUUUGCUUCACCAGGUUGGUUCUUUAGCCGUGUUUAGUUGCAAAAGUUUUCUUUAAACUUCAAACUUUUCCAUCACAUCAAAACUUUCCUACACACACAAACUUCAAACUUUUCCAUCACAUCGUUCCAAUUUCAAACAAACUUCUAAUUUUAGCGUGAACUAAACACACCCUAAUGGUCCAGGCAAUGAAUUGCUUAAGACCCCUGUACUGUAGCUCUGUUUAUCCGUACACAGUACUGCACAUGAAUAGAUGAUUGCCUCUGUUUUUUUUUUUGGUCGAAUGCACAGGAGGCCAGUAAUACAAUAUGCUUUUAGAUUUUUUUCUGGAAAAUAUUCUCAUUGUUUGCGAUACGUCUUAUAAGCUGACAAAUAAAUGAAGCAAUCAAAAUUGAUUUUAGGGUAAGUUCUUAUACUUCUAUAAAGAUUAAGGCCAGAAAAUAGAGAGGGAUCUUAGAUUUUGUCACAGUUGAUAUGAUACUUCACCCUGUGUGACAUUUUCAAUUGAGGAGUUGUAAAGAAUAUCUGCAACAAUAAUUUGGAAGUGAAUCAUGACAAGUAUUCUUCAUAUAAUUUACUAGCGUGAUUCUAUUUCUUUUUGCAAGAGAUCAGUGCUGCUAUUAAAUUCAGUCAAGAGUGUAUCAUUACCUUUCUAACAUUAAUAUUGCCCUUGGAUCAUAAGGCCACACCAUGAAUGCCUGCACUUUUGGUCUUUGAAAAUAUAUAUGUAUUGUUUUGAUGGUGAAGCUAGCUAUGGAGCAACAUGCACAGAUUAGACAAAAUGUAAAAGUGCUUGGGAAGACAUGUUGAAUACUGAGCAUGCAGAUGCAGUGACAUUCUGAAAGAGCAUUUGGCUAUAUACGAUUCAAAAAAAAAAGAUGCUACCGAAUUUUUUGGUGCAAACAUGCUUACAUGCUUGAAGAGCUGCGCUGAAGUGGUUUGAACAUGUUUGCAGACAAAAUUGUGGUUUGUAAUGAGCUCUUUCCACUUGUAAUCCUUUAUGGUGGAGAAGAAUGCCAAUCAGAGCAUCCACCUAAAUGAACACGCAUUUGAAAGUGUUUGUCCUUUUUGUUAAUAAAAAUUAUAGCCCAAUUCACAUUUUUA
Molecule: non-coding RNA, 1801 nt
Organism: Oryza sativa Japonica Group (Japanese rice)
Lineage: Eukaryota; Viridiplantae; Streptophyta; Magnoliopsida; Poales; Poaceae
Source: RefSeq, a predicted model, not a curated record